CACGUAGGGACCAAGCGUUGUCCGGAUUUAUUGGGCGUAAAGAGCUCGUAGGCGGUUGGGUAAGUCGGGUGUGAAAACUCUGGGCUCAACUCAGAGACGCCACCCGAUACUGCUCUGACUUGAGUCCGGUAGGGGAGUGGGGAAUUCCUGGUGUAGCGGUGAAAUGCGCAGAUAUCAGGAGGAACACCGGUGGCGAAGGCGCCACUCUGGGCCGGAACUGACGCUGAGGAGCGAAAGCGUGGGUAGCAAACAGG
This 254-nucleotide ribosomal RNA is filed under the name uncultured bacterium. RNAcentral describes it as "partial 16S ribosomal RNA". It matches the Rfam family "Bacterial small subunit ribosomal RNA", at positions 524 to 776 of the family's 1533-position model. The record is from RNAcentral.